Molecule: non-coding RNA, 278 nt
Organism: Cherax quadricarinatus
Lineage: Eukaryota; Metazoa; Arthropoda; Malacostraca; Decapoda; Parastacidae
Source: RefSeq, a predicted model, not a curated record
GCCGCCAUCUUUCCUCCUGUGUUGCUGCUCCACGCUACCGCUGGUGAGGAGAGAAGCCAAGAUGUCUGCAGAUUUGUGCUGGCAGAUCAUAAGAGGUAAUCAUUCUCAUCUCCUUAAAAGAGGAAUGUCAAGAAACCAUUUUCCACUAAUGUGGAGUGCAGUGAGUGAGUCCCUUAGUAGCCUGGAGGCUGUAAAGAAGGUCGGAGGGAUGUAGCACGCUGAGAUUUGGCACGCCACUUCUGUAGAGUUUCACACCAAAACAAAAUAAAAAAAAAAAA